UACGAAGGGGGCUAGCGUUGCUCGGAUUGACUGGGCGUAAAGGGCGCGUAGGCGGUUCGUACAGUCAGACGUGAAAUUCCUGGGCUCAACCUGGGGGGCUGCGUUUGAUACGUGCGGACUUGAGUGCGGAAGAGGGUCGUGGAAUUCCCAGUGUAGAGGUGAAAUUCGUAGAUAUUGGGAAGAACACCGGUGGCGAAGGCGGCGACCUGGUCCGAUACUGACGCUGAGGCGCGAAAGCGUGGGGAGCAAACAGG
Molecule: ribosomal RNA, 254 nt
Filed under: uncultured bacterium
Lineage: Bacteria
Description: partial 16S ribosomal RNA
Rfam family: Bacterial small subunit ribosomal RNA
Source: RNAcentral